This 292-nucleotide ribosomal RNA is filed under the name uncultured bacterium. RNAcentral's name for it is "partial 16S ribosomal RNA". It matches the Rfam family "Bacterial small subunit ribosomal RNA", at positions 505 to 796 of the family's 1533-position model. The record is from RNAcentral.
GUGUCAGCCGCCGCGGUAAUACGUAUGGGGCAAGCGUUAUCCGGAUUCAUUGGGCGUAAAGAGCGCGUAGGCGGAUUGUUAAGCGAGAUGUGAAAACCGGGGGCUCAACCCGCGGCCUGCAUCUCGAACUGGCAGUCUUGAGUCUGGUAGAGGAAAGUGGAAUUCCCAGUGUAGCGGUGAAAUGCGCAGAUAUUGGGAGGAACACCAGUGGCGAAGGCGGCUUUCUGGGCCACGACUGACGCUGAGGCGCGAAAGCUAGGGGAGCAAACAGGAUUAGAAACCCUUGUAGUCC